Neofelis nebulosa (Clouded leopard) is the source of this 906-nucleotide long non-coding RNA. RefSeq lists it as uncharacterized. NCBI's taxonomy places the organism in Eukaryota, Metazoa, Chordata, Mammalia, Carnivora, Felidae. The transcript has 2 exons. The record is from RefSeq and is a predicted model, not a curated record.
CACAGCCCCUCCCAAUGCCCCCUCUCCUCUAGAAAAGAGCGUUCCUCCCUUUGUUCUUCCGUUUCUUCUCCAGACUUGCCUGUGGUUUUGCUGGGGCUGGCGUGUCCCAAAUUAUAAUUCUCUGCUAUUCCCAGAACUGGACUGUUCCUCUUGGAACCAUGCCUGUUGGAAAUGCGCUGGCCCUUCGUCUGAUUUCUUCUGGAACAAGGCUACUCCUGUAGAGACCAGUGUCUAUAAACUUUUUUUCUGGUCUAGAGAAAACUACCAAGAAAUGGAUUCCAAUUAUCAAAGCGCAUGGAGGGGGGACCCAACUGGGACCCUGGCCAAUCUUAGGUUUAAAAACCAUGGUGCGUCCUUGUGCAUUUCUAACAAACUGAGCAACUGAACAAAUAUAAUUUAGAACUACAAGGGCCUUUAUGGGGAACUUUCGAUCUCCCCAAACUUGUUGUAUUGAAUAUUGUUAGGGAAAAAAAAAUUAAAAAUUAAGAAGGUAGGAAAGAAGAAAAGAAAGGAAAAGGAAAGGAAAGGAAAGGAAAGAAAAGGAAGGAAAAGAAAAGAGAAAAGGAAAAGAAAAAAAUUAGGAAGUCAUGAAUCCAGCAAACUGAAUUUGAUACAGAUUUUAUUCAGUACCUCGAGACUUGCAAAUAUUUUCAGGAUCUAAGUGUACCUCUUUGCAAAAGACUAUUUAAAUUGAACCAAGGCAAACAACUGAAAUAUGACAAAUGGCUUCCGAAGGGUCUUUUUCUCCUGCCCCGGCUUCACUCUACACCCAGGACCUGCCUCCAACCACUUCCCUUGACAUGCUCUGAACUUCCCUUUUCUUCUGAACCUGCCCUUGAUCCCUCCUUACCUCAACCUGUUAACCCAGCCUAUUUAAGGUAAAGCAUCUCAAGAUUUGAAACCCCA